Molecule: unclassified non-coding RNA, 189 nt
Filed under: uncultured Exophiala
Lineage: Eukaryota; Fungi; Ascomycota; Eurotiomycetes; Chaetothyriales; Herpotrichiellaceae
Description: sequence contains ITS2
Source: RNAcentral
CAACCAUCAAGCCCCCCGGGCUUGUGUUGGACGGUUUGGUGGAGGCCCCCUCGGGGGCUCCUGCCCCUCCCAAAGACAAUGACGGCGGCCUCGUUGGACCCCCGGUACACUGAGUUCUUCACGGGACACGUAUCGGACACAUGGGUUUACGGGACACGGUCUGCCUCCCCUCAGGGAGAAUCUUUCUAA